AUAUCAGUAAGCGGAGGAAGAGAAACUAACAAGGAUUCCCUCAGUAACGGCGAGUGAAGCGGGAAGAGCUCAAAUUUUAAAUCCAAGAGUGUGCUGCUCUUUGAAUUGUAGUUUGUAGACGUGAAUCGUGGUCGAUGCAUCGAUGUGCAAGUCUCCUGGAAUGGAGCAUCACGGAGGGUGAGAAUCCCGUCUGGAUGUCGAUGCAUGGGUCGAUGGAGUCACGUCGAAGAGUCGAGUUGUUUGGGAAUGCAGCUCAAAAGGGGUGGUAAAUUCCAUCUAAAGCUAAAUAUUGGCAAGAGACCGAUAGCGCACAAGUA
RNAcentral lists this ribosomal RNA (317 nucleotides) under uncultured eukaryote. Its description in RNAcentral is "partial large subunit ribosomal RNA". It matches the Rfam family "Eukaryotic large subunit ribosomal RNA", at positions 40 to 350 of the family's 3401-position model. The record is from RNAcentral.